Molecule: non-coding RNA, 181 nt
Organism: Caenorhabditis elegans
Lineage: Eukaryota; Metazoa; Nematoda; Chromadorea; Rhabditida; Rhabditidae
Source: Ensembl
AUCCGCGCACACCACAUGCAGCAAGUAGCUCUCACAUAUCAUUUAUGUCUUUGCGUACUCCUCAAAUCACACACUAUCUCGUUACUCCAAACUCAUGUCCGGUAUAAACAGAAGUGUAACCCAUCGGCGAGAAAGUGUGGAGCAGUGAGAGACGCAGAGAACGGACCAAGUAGUUUCUGGC